RNAcentral lists this ribosomal RNA (253 nucleotides) under uncultured bacterium. RNAcentral's name for it is "partial 16S ribosomal RNA". It matches the Rfam family "Bacterial small subunit ribosomal RNA", at positions 524 to 776 of the family's 1533-position model. The record is from RNAcentral.
UACGUAGGGUGCGAGCGUUGUCCGGAAUUAUUGGGCGUAAAGAGCUUGUAGGCGGUCUGUCGCGUCUGCUGUGAAAAUCCGGGGCUCAACCCCGGACUUGCAGUGGGUACGGGCAGACUAGAGUGUGGUAGGGGAGACUGGAAUUCCUGGUGUAGCGGUGAAAUGCGCAGAUAUCAGGAGGAACACCGGUGGCGAAGGCGGGUCUCUGGGCCGAUACUGACGCUGAGGCGCGAAAGCUAGGGGAGCGAACAGG